UACGGAGGGUGCAAGCGUUGUCCGGAAUCACUGGGCGUAAAGGGCGCGUAGGCGGCUCAUGAAGGCUGUGGUGAAAGUCCGGGCUCAACCUCGGAUCGGCCGUGGCGACUCGUGGGCUGGAGCACUGUAGAGGCGGGUGGAAUUCCGGGUGUAGCGGUGGAAUGCGUAGAGAUCCGGAAGAACACCAGUGGCGAAGGCGGCCCGCUGGGCAGUGGCUGACGCUGAGGCGCGACAGCGUGGGGAGCAAACGAGG
This 253-nucleotide ribosomal RNA is filed under the name uncultured bacterium. RNAcentral's name for it is "partial 16S ribosomal RNA". It matches the Rfam family "Bacterial small subunit ribosomal RNA", at positions 524 to 777 of the family's 1533-position model. The record is from RNAcentral.